RNAcentral lists this small nuclear RNA (23 nucleotides) under Arabidopsis thaliana (thale cress). Its description in RNAcentral is "snRNA_07353". The record is from RNAcentral. Lineage: Eukaryota; Viridiplantae; Streptophyta; Magnoliopsida; Brassicales; Brassicaceae.
UUAUAUUAUAUAUGUAAACAACA